Molecule: ribosomal RNA, 421 nt
Filed under: uncultured eukaryote
Lineage: Eukaryota
Description: SSU rRNA
Rfam family: Eukaryotic small subunit ribosomal RNA
Source: RNAcentral
CAAUAGCGUAUAUUAAAGUUGUUGCAGUUAAAAAGCUCGUAGUUGGAUUUCUGUUCUCGAGGAUCGGUCCGCCUCACGGUGAGCACUGGUUUUUCUUGGGGACAUCCUCUCGAAGGCGGGUGGUGCACUUAAUUGUGUGCUGCUUGGAUUCGGGACCUUUACUUUGAAAAAUUAGAGUGUUCAAAGCAGGCGUCGGCUUGAAUACAUUAGCAUGGAAUAAUGGAAUAGGACUUUGGUUCUAUUUUGUUGGUUUCUAGGACCGAAGUAAUGAUUAAUAGGGACAGUUGGGGGCAUUCAUAUUCCAUUGUCAGAGGUGAAAUUCUUGGAUUAACGGAAGAUGAACUUCUGCGAAAGCAUCUGCCAAGGAUGUUUUCAUUGAUCAAGAACGAAAGUUAGGGGAUCGAAGACGAUUAGAUACCAU